CAAGUGUAUUUUAACAUAACUAAAUGUUUAAACUUUAGAUCUUUAUUUUAAACUUUACCAUUAUUUUAAGAAGUUUUUGCUAGGGUAAAUGUUUUCCAUAAGUUUUUUUUUUUUUUUUCUUUUAUAUAUCGGAUAAAGGGAUUACAUUUGUUCUCCGAGUUUUUAUAGAAGCCCCAUCGCUAUCACCAUCACUAUUUUGAUUUUUCCAAGAUGGCCGUUUUUGUUUCGCGAACGUUCUGCGAGGAGAGUUCGGCGACUUGCGUGACUUACGAACAGAACUGCCUAAUUGUGCCGCUUGUGCCUGGACAAUGGAAGAUGAUGCAAAGGCCAAAAGAAAGCUACUCUGCAUCUGCACUCUGAAUAAUGUGAUGUCUCGGUAGCUACACAUGCUUUGUUAAAGGGAAGUUUAUUUCGCCACUUGCUAGGCAUCAUUGAGGUGAUUUGGCUGUGUGCCUUUAUUUUAUGCUAAUAGAAUGUACUGCACUUACAACUGCUUGUUGUAGGUGCAGCCUACAACAAUCAGUUGCAAAGGAGCACCGUUUAGUGAAUCCAUUCGAUUAACAUAAGCAAGUCUGGAAGAUGCUAAAGACUAGAGCAUGAUGCACUGAGGCAUGUUGACCUAUGCUUGAGCACCCACUCUCCUCUCUUGGGCUGUAAACCAGGCAAAAUGUAAAAUUAUUCUUGCGAAAACAGCAGGGAUGUGGCAUGCAUAAAAACUUGUCGAUCAUGCUCUGAAUAUGCUGGCCGCCCAAGCGAGCGACUCACUGACUGACUGGCUCGGCUUUGCCAUCAGCCAAGGCAGGACAAGCAAAUGCUAGAGCAAGCAGUCAAGUUCGGUGAAUUUUGUUUUUCUAAAAACAAAUUUGCUAAAAGGAGAUUCGUUGCCAUUUCCUCUAAACGGAGUCUCUUCUUGAAAGAAUUCAAUAAAAAAGGGGUUUCAAAACUUGUGCUUGGAAAAAUAGAUGCCUCUGCUCGGGCCGUACACAUCAACUUUCUUAGAUCUGUCGGUUGACAAGCUCCAUAGAAGAGCAGCAGUAAAAAAAAAAAAAAAAAAAAUUGAGACGUUUACAAUUCUUUGUAACAUGAAAUUAGAGCGCAGCGCUUGAGUAGGAGGAGGGGAGGUUAUGCCUCUCCUAUCCCUCCAUACCCUCUCCUCCCCCUCCCAUUUAGCAGGCAAUUUUCGCUAAAUUUCCUGCUAAAUUUAGCAAGAAUUUCCCCGCUAAAUUUAGCGGUUUAAGUUUCCUCUCUAAAUCUUGUGGGGAAAUUGAUGUCACACAACCUCAACACCAAUUCAGUUUCCCCGCUAUAUUUAGCGGGGAAACUGAAUUGGUGUUGAGGAAACAACCCUGCUAAAUGGCACAUGACUUCAUGCCACGUCACUCACAAACAAAUUCAGUUCCUCAGCUAGAUUUAGCAGAAAAAUUGACAUUGCGUGACCUCAACACAAAUUCAAUUUCUCACUAAAUUCAGCAAGGUGAUCAUGCAGACGGCGACGCAAUGAAGCGUGGAAAUGGGCACCUAAGAGCUGCACUCUAAACCAGUUUUUCUCUGUUGCCGGUGCACAAGCAGGUAAGGGCGGAUAGCAUUCCUAGUGCCAAUUCCUUUGCGGUCAACGAAAAACGCUUUUUGAACAACGCUCUUUCUGUUUUAAGUAUUGUGCAGGCCUUAAGUUUACUAUAAGAACAACAACAACAAAAAAAAAAAAUCACUUUCCACUGCAGGUGAUGUGCAUCCAACGUUCCACUGGAUCUGUCCAAAGGGCAGGCUGAUACUGCGGCAGAUGCCACUGAGCGGACACACUGCAAAAAGGCGUCGGGCGUUUUCCGAAGUUUGUCAACUGACCUAGAUCUGAGAACGUUGGUACAUGUAUUGCUACCGUUGCCAAGCAGGACUGAAGAUUGUUAGAGUGUGAACAAUGUUCACACUUUGGUCAAUGCAAGCACAUCUUUUUUUUUUAGUAAUAUUGACUAACAAGAUUGCAGCAAUCAAACAAGUUAACACCGAAAUGUUAAAAGCAAUAAAGAAAUUAAAGCCCG
This 2036-nucleotide long non-coding RNA is filed under the name Ixodes scapularis (black-legged tick). RNAcentral's name for it is "uncharacterized LOC121837096". The record is from RNAcentral. Lineage: Eukaryota; Metazoa; Arthropoda; Arachnida; Ixodida; Ixodidae.